AGCAGGUCUCCAAGGUG
RNAcentral lists this non-coding RNA (17 nucleotides) under Mus musculus (house mouse). Lineage: Eukaryota; Metazoa; Chordata; Mammalia; Rodentia; Muridae. The record is from RNAcentral.